UUUUAUUUGAGAGUUUGAUCCUGGCUCAGGAUGAACGCUGGCGGCGUGCCUAACACAUGCAAGUUGAGCGAUUUACUUCGGUAAAGAGCGGCGGACGGGUGAGUAACGCGUGGGUAACCUACCCUGUACACACGGAUAACAUACCGAAAGGUAUGCUAAUACGGGAUAAUAUAUUUGAGAGGCAUCUCUUAAAUAUCAAAGGUGAGCCAGUACAGGAUGGACCCGCGUCUGAUUAGCUAGUUGGUAAGGUAACGGCUUACCAAGGCGACGAUCAGUAGCCGACCUG
RNAcentral lists this ribosomal RNA (286 nucleotides) under Clostridioides difficile. RNAcentral's name for it is "partial 16S ribosomal RNA". It matches the Rfam family "Bacterial small subunit ribosomal RNA", at positions 1 to 294 of the family's 1533-position model. The record is from RNAcentral. Lineage: Bacteria; Bacillati; Bacillota; Clostridia; Peptostreptococcales; Peptostreptococcaceae.